AUUGAACGCUGGCGGCAUGCUUUACACAUGCAAGUCGAACGAGUGGCGAACGGGUGAUUAUUACUUGGGAACGUACUGAGUGAUGGGGGAAAACAAAGCGAAAGGUAGCCUAAACCCGCAUAUUAUGCGAGCGGCCGAAUAGUGAUUAGCUAGUUGGUGGGGUAAAGGCCUACCAAGGCGACGAUCAGUAGCGGGUCUGAGAGGACGAUCCGCCACACUGGGACUGAGACACGGCCCAGACUCCUACGGGAGGCAGCAGUGGGGAAUUUUGGACAAUGGGGGCAAGCCUGAUCCAGCCAUGCCGCGUGUAUGAAGAAGGCCUUCGGGUUGUAAAGUACUUUUGUUAGGGAAGCGGUACCUAAAGAAUAAGCACCGGCUAACUACGUGCCAGCAGCCGCGGUAAUUC
RNAcentral lists this ribosomal RNA (406 nucleotides) under uncultured bacterium. RNAcentral's name for it is "partial 16S ribosomal RNA". It matches the Rfam family "Bacterial small subunit ribosomal RNA", at positions 30 to 526 of the family's 1533-position model. The record is from RNAcentral.